This 467-nucleotide ribosomal RNA is filed under the name uncultured bacterium. RNAcentral's name for it is "partial 16S ribosomal RNA". It matches the Rfam family "Bacterial small subunit ribosomal RNA", at positions 28 to 507 of the family's 1533-position model. The record is from RNAcentral.
GACGAACGCUGGCGGCGUGCUUAACACAUGCAAGUCGAACGGAAAGGCCUCUUUCGGGGGGUACUCGCGUGGCGAACGGGUGAGUAACACGUGAGUAACCUGCCCUUGACUUUGGGAUAACUUCCGGAAACUGGGGCUAAUACCGGAUAGGAGCUCCUGCUGCAUGGUGGGGGUUGGAAAGUUUCGGCGGUUGGGGAUGGACUCGCGGGUUAUCAGCUUGUUGGUGGGGUAGUGGCUUACCAAGGCUUUGACGGGUAGCCGGCCUGUGGGGGUGACCGGCAACCUUGGGACUGAGAGACGGCCCAGACUCCGACGGGAGGCAGCAGUGGGGAAGAUUGCACAAUGGGUGGAAGCCUGAUGCAGCAACGCCGUGUGCGGGAUGACGGCCUUCGGGUUGUAAACCGCUUUCGCUCAUGACGAAGCUUUGUGUGACGGUAGUGGGUAAAGAAGCACCGGCUAACUACGUG